GUCCACGCCGUAAACGAUGGGUGCUAGACGUUGGCGGGCUUGCCCGUCAGUGUCGCAGCUAACGCGUUAAGCACCCCGCCUGGGGAGUACGGCCGCAAGGUUGAACUCAAAGGAAUUGACGGGGGCCCGGCACAAGCGGUGGAGCAUGUGGUUCAAUUCGACGCAACGCGAAGAACCUUACCAGCCCUUGACUUGUGGCUCGCCGGUCCCGGAGACGGGACCUUCGGUUCGGCCGGAGCCAACACAGGUGCUGCAUGGCUGUCGU
This 265-nucleotide ribosomal RNA is filed under the name uncultured bacterium. RNAcentral's name for it is "partial 16S ribosomal RNA". It matches the Rfam family "Bacterial small subunit ribosomal RNA", at positions 793 to 1055 of the family's 1533-position model. The record is from RNAcentral.